AGCUUUGCGCAGUGGCAGUAUCGUAGCCAGUGAGGUUAAUCUGAGGCGCAAUUAUUGCUAAUUGAAAACUUUUCCAGAAAAAA
Non-coding RNA from Podarcis lilfordi (Lilford's wall lizard), 83 nucleotides. NCBI's taxonomy places the organism in Eukaryota, Metazoa, Chordata, Lepidosauria, Squamata, Lacertidae. The record is from the annotation of a GenBank genome assembly.